This is an RNA transcript of Arachis duranensis, 2308 nucleotides long. It is a transcript of the gene named pyruvate dehydrogenase E1 component subunit alpha, mitochondrial-like, with no coding region annotated. NCBI's taxonomy places the organism in Eukaryota, Viridiplantae, Streptophyta, Magnoliopsida, Fabales, Fabaceae. The record is from RefSeq and is a predicted model, not a curated record. The transcript is spliced from 3 exons.
GGAAAAGAAAGAAAGGGAAAAGAGAGAAGAAGGGGGAAUCAGGGAAGAAGAAGGGAAGGAAAGGGAGAAGAGCGCGCCGUCACUGCACCCUGCCCGCUUGCCGCUGCCGUUCCAUGGUGCCGCCGCCAUUGUCGCGCGAACCGGAGAGUGUGGAGACGGAGAAGAGUGUGUGCAAGAGAGGAGUAGCCACCAUCGUUGAGGACUCCAUCACCGCCGCUGAAGGUCCUGACCGUCAGCUCGUCGUCGCCGUCACACCUCCCAUCACUGCUGCCACUAAAGAGCUCGAAGAGAAAGAAAGGGUUCGCGCGGAGAGAGAAACACGAUAAGGGAGGAGGAGGUUGCCUCUGUUGCUACCAAGCCGUCGCUGGCAGGGUUGGGUUCGCCGUCCCUGUUGAGCUGUGCGCCGCCAUUGGUAUUUGGAUCACCACUCUGUUUCAGCUGCAACUCGCCACUGUACUGGUGAGCUUUACCCUGUUUCUGAUUUCUCUUUGCUCGCCUAAUUAUCCCGUUGUUGCUAUGAGGGUUAUUGUUAAAGUGUUUAUGUUAACUGAAGCUGUUGCUGUGAGUUACUUUACUGUCGCCUAAUAUUGAUUUUAAUGUUGAUUUGGUAUAAUGUUGUUCUGAUGUUGAUUUGGUAACUGGUAAUUUGGAAAUGCUGUUGUGAUUUUAUUUUGAUUUUAAUAUUGAUUUAGUAUGUAACUGGUUCUCUGGCAAUGCUGCUUUGAUUUUGCUUUGAUUUUAAUAUUAAUUUGUUAUAAUACUGUUAUGAUUUUGAUUUGCUAACUAGAUCUCUGAAAGAACUUAUAAGUGGUAUCGAAUUAACCAUGAAAAUUUUGUAGCCAUCAGACACGGAUGUACGUAUAGAUCUCUGAAUUAAAGCUUACUUGUGUAUAUAAGGUAAGAUUGGGCUUUCUCAACCCAAGUGCUGCAUAUAGGAUUGCAUUAACUUUAAUACUUUCUAGCAUUUGUGUAGUUUUGAUUAAAUUAUCAAAGUUUGGUAUUUGCUUCACUCUGAUUGCUUUCUUGUAUUCUUGAUUAUUUUGUAAAGAUUCUUGAAAUGGACACCUAUAGAUACCACGGGCACUCUAUGUCUGAUCCUGGUAGCACAUACCGUACAUGUGACGAAAUUUCCAAUGAGAGACAAGUUUGUCACACUACUGAGCAAAGCAUAUAAUGUGCUGUUAUUUUAAUAUCAUGGAGUUCUUUCUCAAAUUUUUCUCUUGGUUAAUAUGAUUAUAGGAGCGUGAUCCAAUUAAGAGAGUGUGGAAGCUAUUAUUGGCUCAUGACAUUGCUUCUGAGAAGGAGCUGAAGGUAAUCCAAAGAAACUAGACUUCUUACUUUGUUCUUCCGAUGUGAAGUAUGAUAAUUUUAAGGCUUGGUUAUGUAUAAUACUAUGACUUCUAUAUUGAUGACAUCUUUGCCAAAUUUACCAUGCCUUUUUUAUUUUUUAUUUCUUUGAAGAUAGUUCAUGGAUUAAACUUUUCUUUAUUAUGAUGUAAGGUAUCAGACUUGACUUAAAGAAUUAUGGGCUACGUUAUAUUUUUUUGUGAUUUGCGACUUGGUCUGUGCGAUGGUUCGCUUUAGUUUGCCUAUGUCUUUGGUAUGAACUACAGUAGCUGUAGAAUUCCUAUGUACCUAAUCAUCUUGAUGUGAUAUUAAAACCAUUAUGUACUCCCAAGUCUCUAACAUCGCUUUCAAUUCAUGAAAACAGGGUUGGUUAGGUUAGGUAUGUUAAAUCCUGUCAUUUGCAAUUGAGAACAAAACAGGUAGACCUUGUUUUGUCAUUAGUUACUUUAUUGAUUGAUUUUUUUCUCUUUAAUGAGAUUUUAUUCUAAGCAAUGUUAGGAGAAAAUAGUUCUGUGUCGUCAUCGGUUACUGCUCUGUAAUCCGUUGCUGUUCCGUGCUCUCCUCUCCGAUGUCCCCCACUUGGUCUGUUGAGGUUCGGUUAUGGGACAAAAUUUGUUUGAUGAAAUGGCUGAGAACAUUCUCGGUGGCAGCAGACUUGGAAACAAAUUCUGCGACUCUUCUAAGAGCCAAGUCCUUAGGAGUUCCUCAAUAGAUAAAGAGAGAGCAAACGAUGUUGCUGAAGAUCAAAGUUGUGUUACAUGUUGAUUGAGAAUGCUACUUGCUGCAGCAGGUCCUUAGUCGGUAAUGGCUUAGCUAGUGUCAACGUGUAUAGAUUUUAAACUCUAAGUUUUUUGAGUGUGCAAACAAUGAAUUAAUUGAUUCUAAUUUGGAUUUGAAUUUAGUUUCGUGCAUUUUAAGUUGUAAAAUGAUGCAAAGCAAUGAGUAUUACUUUUCUUUAUUA